Osmia lignaria (orchard mason bee) is the source of this 1935-nucleotide non-coding RNA. NCBI's taxonomy places the organism in Eukaryota, Metazoa, Arthropoda, Insecta, Hymenoptera, Megachilidae. The record is from RefSeq and is a predicted model, not a curated record.
AAUCUACAAAAUUUUAUUUACAGAUAUAAAUUCAGAUUAUACAAAUUACUAUUAUGGAUACAUAGUGAAAUGUAUGUUAAUGACCAGUGAAUAUGACAUGUGUCUGUAAUUCAGUACAAAGAAAAAGAAAAAAAAAACGCUCAUACGUUUGUGGUACCUCGGUAAAUCUUAAAUACAUACAUAACUGCUCCCUGUGUACGCGUGACGUGAAAUGCAAUCAUUAAAAUUACAUAAAUGAGUUUGUAAAAAUAUAUGUUUACAUUUAAAUAUUUAGUCUGUAUUAUAUUUUUAACAUAACUCUGUUAUGUGUUUGAAAUAUAAUGUGAAAUUUCACCUGGUCAUAAACUUUGCAAACAGCAUAAUACUAUUAAGAAAAUGAAUAGUUCCCCUAACAAUAUUCAUUAUUAAAUAAACUAAAACAUCAUUGUAAGAAAGAUCAUCGUCGCUAGAUUUCACUCGUACAUGUUUACCCAUCGUGUUGACCGAAGAAAGAUGAAUGGUAUGAUUACCUGCGACCGUAAUGCGCCUUCUACGCGACUUACGAUUCCUGUUUCCUGGAACCCUAAUGUCGGGCUUAGCGAUUCUUUGCCUCGGUUGCGGAACCGGUGGCACAUUUGUUCUAGUUCGACUCGCGGUAGGAGGCACACUUGUAGUAGUUGUGGCCACUGUUGUAGUCGUAGGAUUGCUUUGAUCUUCUGUUUGCAACCAUUGUGCCGCCACAUCCUGCGCGGAUUCCUGUUCCUGCUCUGGCUGCGACGGUGGAACUUCACCAAGGACUAUCAUGCGGGAUUCACCGCCUGCGGUUCCCUCCUCUGUUAAAACGAGAGAGAGACAAAAAUCGAGAAGAAAGCACGCAGAGAUUGAAACGGACACACGACGAGCAGAGUCAGCCAGCGAUCUACAGAGCGUUGCACGAUGACGACGUCAGGCGACGUCAGCUCUCGCCCUUUCCGCGCUUUCGGUUAUUGAUCGCUGACGCUCCGGGGCUUGCGAUGCUCUUAAGCCGGCCUAUCGUUGCAAAUCAUGAUUCAUUCGGACCAACCCUCCAUUUAUAUACAUAUGUAAUGAAAAGGCUUAGUCACGUCAUAUAGAAUCAAGAGAUGAUAAAACGAGUACACGAAAUUUUCUUCUUUAAUAUUACUUGAAAUUUAGUAGAUUUUUCAUUUUACAUCUGUUUGACUGAUACACAAAAAAGGAUCGUUAAUACAAAUAGUUAUUCGUAUGAAAAUAUUAGGGAUACGAGCAGUAGAAGGAAAUUAUAAUGAUGAUGAUGGUGAUGAUGAUGAUGAUUAUAUUAUUAUUAUUAUUAGGGAUAAUAUAAAGCCACAGAUACCACUGUUCUGAUCACACUGUGUGGAACUGGCAAAGCUUUACUCUCCAGAAUAUAUUGAAUAAGAUGAACGGAUCUGCUGGGUCUAUGCGCGGGCGCGACCGUGUAUCUUUGCGCAUGGAUACUCCUGGCUAAAUAUAUUUAUGUAAAAAUGCAAUCGCACGUGUGCAACGCGUGGCUGUAUAUGCACCGGUGAUCCGUAAACAAUUUCAAGUACAUACAUGUAGACACAUGGAUAAACUGAUACGGAAAAUUUCUUUUCCAGGAAAACUACAUUCAAUCUAUAUUAAUAUCAUUCUUGAAGUUUUGCUAAUUAUAGUACACCUUCUAAACUUUAUAUUGUAAUCUUAAUAUUAGUAUUAAAAAUAGAUUAUUAAACUUUUAGACAAUGAUAAAAACAUAAAACGCCUGUUAAUUAUAUUUGUAAUUAUAAUGUGUCUAAGAUUUAUUGAGGUACCACAUGAGUCAGUAGCAAGAGAAAUACAGAAGUGAUUCCUUGAUGCAUAUAAAAGACUAUAAUUAUUGGUGCACAAAGUAUAAAAUUAAUGUGUUGGUUUUCACGAAUUUAUUAAAUAUUCAUACACGAAUAAAGGUAUAUUGUAAAA